CUUCCCCACCAACAUCCCAGGGCCCGAUUUUUAUGGUAAUUAUGUCCUGCUUGUCUCUAUUAUUUUGUCAGCUAAGUAUCCCUAAACAAUAUGGUCUGGUUUUUUGUUUGUUUUUGUUUGUUUGUUUUUUUCAGACGGAGUUUCACUCUGUCACCCAGGCUGGAGUGCAGUGGCAUGAUCUCGGCUCACUGCCACCUUGGCCUCCUGGGUUCAAGGAAUUCUCAGGCCUCAGCCUCAUGAGUAGCUGAGAUUACAGGCGCUGUCCACUGCACCUGGCUAAUUUUUGUAUUUUUAGUAGAGACGGGGUUUUGCCAUGUUGACCAGGCUGGUCUUGAACUCCUGACCUCAGGCGAUCCGCCCGCCUUGAACUCCCAAAGUGCUGGGAUUACAGGUGUGAGCCACCGUGCCCGGCACCUAAACAACAUAGUUUUGAUAUAGACAAGAAGACAAGAAAAUGAUUUGAGGACAGCUUCAAUCGCGGUGUGAAGAAGAAAGCAACAAAACGACCACUGAAAACAAUGCCGGUGGCAAAACAUCCAAAGAAAGGGUCCCAAGUG
Molecule: long non-coding RNA, 557 nt
Filed under: Homo sapiens (human)
Lineage: Eukaryota; Metazoa; Chordata; Mammalia; Primates; Hominidae
Description: STAG3L5P-PVRIG2P-PILRB readthrough
Source: RNAcentral